RNAcentral lists this ribosomal RNA (250 nucleotides) under uncultured bacterium. Its description in RNAcentral is "partial 16S ribosomal RNA". It matches the Rfam family "Bacterial small subunit ribosomal RNA", at positions 524 to 773 of the family's 1533-position model. The record is from RNAcentral.
UACGGAGGGUGCGAGCGUUGUUCGGAAUUACUGGGCGUAAAGGGCGCGUAGGCGGUAGUGAUAGUCAGGUGUGAAAUCCUUCGGCUUAACCGGAGAACUGCAUCUGAAACUUCACAACUAGAGUACAGGAGAGGGAAACGGAAUUCCCGGUGUAGAGGUGAAAUUCGUAGAUAUCGGGAGGAACACCAGUGGCGAAGGCGGUUUCCUGGCCUGAUACUGACGCUGAGGCGCGAAAGCGUGGGGAGCAAAC